AACGCGUGGCGGCAGGCGUUAAUACAUGCAAGUCGAACGGUAACAUGUCGGAGACAAUCUGAUGAUGACGAGUGGCGCACGGGUGCGUAACGCGUAUGCAACCUACCCAACUAACCGGAACAUAACGUUGAGAAAUCGGCGCUAAUAUUCCAUGUGUAUAUUUUGUGGCAUCAUAGAAUAUAUAAAGAUUAAAUUGGUUAUGGAUGGGCAUGCGUAUCAUUAGCUAGUUGGUGGGGUAACGGCCUACCAAGGCUGCGAUGAUUAGGGGUUCUGAGAGGAUAACCCCCACACUGGAACUGAGACACGGUCCAGACUCCUACGGGAGGCAGCAGUAGGGAAUAUUGGGCAAUGGAGGCAAACUCUGACCCAGCCCAUGCCGCGUGAAGGAAGACGGUCCUAUGGAUUGUAAACUUCUUUUAUCAUAGAGUAACCGCAGGGACGUGUCCCUGCCUGCAAGUAUAUGAUGAAUAAGCAUCGGCUAACUCCGUG
Molecule: ribosomal RNA, 489 nt
Filed under: uncultured bacterium
Lineage: Bacteria
Description: bacterial SSU rRNA
Rfam family: Bacterial small subunit ribosomal RNA
Source: RNAcentral